This 499-nucleotide ribosomal RNA is filed under the name Parastylodactylus sp. BOLD:ACR8590. RNAcentral describes it as "partial 16S ribosomal RNA". It matches the Rfam family "Bacterial large subunit ribosomal RNA", at positions 1822 to 2595 of the family's 2925-position model. The record is from RNAcentral. Lineage: Eukaryota; Metazoa; Arthropoda; Malacostraca; Decapoda; Stylodactylidae.
UCUGUGUGUAAAAAAUAUAAAGUCUAGCCUGCCCACUGAAUUUUAAAGGGCCGCGGUAAUUUGACCGUGCGAAGGUAGCAUAAUCAAUAGCCUCUUAAUUAGAGGCUGGAAUGAAUGGUUGAACAAAAGAAAAGCUGUCUUGUUAAUGUAUUUCAAAUUUAACUUUUAAGUGAAAAGGCUUAAAUAACUUAAAGGGACGAUAAGACCCUAUAAAACUUUACAAUUUAACUUUAGUCUUUGAAUUAAGUAAAUAAAAUUAAAAGUAGAUUGUUGGGCUGGGGCGGCCUAAAUAAAUCAUUAACUGUUUCAAAAAUUAAAUAUUUAUAAAUAGAUUAUUGAUCCUUUUUUAAGGAUUAAAAGUUUAAGUUACUUUAGGGAUAACAGCGUGAUUUUUUCUGAGAGUUCUUAUCGACGAAAUUAGUUGCGACCUCGAUGUUGAAUUAAGGGUUGCUUAAAUAAGUAGAAAUAUUUAAAGUACGUCUGUUCGACGUUUAAAUCC